Molecule: long non-coding RNA, 935 nt
Organism: Gadus morhua (Atlantic cod)
Lineage: Eukaryota; Metazoa; Chordata; Actinopteri; Gadiformes; Gadidae
Exons: 5
Source: RefSeq, a predicted model, not a curated record
ACGGCGAAAGGUUACCUCCCCUUUCUCGUAUUUUGCCCGCCCACAUUAUUUGUCCCGACCGCCCAUGAGAAAAUGAGUUACGAACGUGUACACACAGUUCUUUGCUUGAGAGACACCGUGGCUUGCAAACGAGCGAAUCAUCGCAGUUGCUCAGUGUUUGGAUGUACAAAACCUCGAAAAACAGGCCAGCCCACCAAGUGCUUGCAUUCAGCAGCUUCUCUCAAGGGAUGUUGCCUGCCAGACAGAGCACCUGGAAACGCGUAUUUGUAGGCACACAGCUAUCCUUAAAGACUUUGCAGCCCCAUUUUAAAAGUGAAGAAGACUACGAUGCCUUUGGAGACCGUAGCACUCAGCGUGGCGCCACCUCAGAGAUUCUGGGUGUGGACGCCCCUGGCUCCUCCCACUGGUCCAGUCACAGCGAGGAACUGGUGGUUAGCGAAAUAAAGAAUAUUUUGGCAUUUUUGCACUUGUAAAUAGUUAAUCACACUCAGAUGUGAACUCAUUCUUGCAUUCGAGGUUCUUCAAUCCACAAAAUAAAUACACAGGCAAGACAUUGAAAUUGCAGGACGUGCCAAUCAGCGACCGAACCAGCUUGGCAGUGUAAAAACGUCUAAUCUGUCAGUAGUGGGGAUUGACAACUAUUCUGUGAAAAUGAAAGAAUAUGUCUUGUGUUUGUUUCCUUCUUAAUGUGUAAAGCAGCAGACGCCAGACAUCAUUUCAAUCAAGGUUGAAGAGGAUAUUGGUGGAGGCUUGCCCGCCGUAGAAGACUGCGAUGCCUUUGUAGACCGUGGCACUCAGUGUGGCGCCACCUCAGAGAUUCUGGGUGUGGUCGCCCCUGGCUCCUCCCACUGGUCCAGUCGCUGCGAGGAAUUGGUGCAGACCCCAGACACCAUUUCAAUCAAGGUUGAAGAGGAUAUUGGUGGAGGCUUGCCCGC